GGCCCUUUCCUCCUCGAAAGCAUCAUUGAUCACUCACAACCUCCAUGCACUCUUUACUAUAUCCAGAAUAUCCCACACAAAGAUCAAAGAAUCAAGUUAGGUAGUGAACCAAAACAUGGAUCUAAGUGCACAAGGUACCAUGAUGACCUUAGAUCUAAGGAUCACUUAUACAACUCCUACUAGAGAAUCAUCAGUUGAUAUGUAAAUAAGACUCCAUCUGAUAUUUUUUCGUAGG
Molecule: long non-coding RNA, 235 nt
Filed under: Elaeis guineensis (African oil palm)
Lineage: Eukaryota; Viridiplantae; Streptophyta; Magnoliopsida; Arecales; Arecaceae
Description: long non-coding RNA (EGUI_LNC020285)
Source: RNAcentral